GCCUUAGUGCAGUGUACUCCGAGCAGUACUCAGUGCUCUGUUUUGAGGAUUACUUACAGACUACACAGUGCUGUGACCUAGAUGUUCCAAGAAUAAGAGCAUGCAGUUGAGAUCUUGUUAUUUUCAAGGUUCCCAAAGGACCUAUUAACAGCAGACUUUUAUGGAACGUGGUUAAUGGUUAAACUGGUGAAAAUAACUGCACAAGUUAUACUUACCAUAGUGUUUGUGACCUAAUCACCUCUCUUAAUGUUCAACUGGAAGUGAUAAUAAAGACAGAGUUCAAAACCCAACUGAGAUGAAGGGAUCCUUGGAUAUUUGUCACACGAGAACAAAAGGAAGUCCCUUGUUCUGAGGUGUACAGCAAAAUGCAUGAGACGAG
This 379-nucleotide long non-coding RNA is filed under the name Gallus gallus (chicken). The record is from RNAcentral. Lineage: Eukaryota; Metazoa; Chordata; Aves; Galliformes; Phasianidae.